This 76-nucleotide transfer RNA is filed under the name Dermabacter sp. HMSC08H10. RNAcentral describes it as "tRNA-Arg". It matches the Rfam family "tRNA". From Rfam's summary of the family: Transfer RNA (tRNA) molecules are approximately 80 nucleotides in length. Their secondary structure includes four short double-helical elements and three loops (D, anti-codon, and T loops). Further hydrogen bonds mediate the characteristic L-shaped molecular structure. tRNAs have two regions of fundamental functional importance: the anti-codon, which is responsible for specific mRNA codon recognition, and the 3' end, to which the tRNAs corresponding amino acid is attached (by aminoacyl-tRNA synthetases). tRNAs cope with the degeneracy of the genetic code in two manners: having more than one tRNA (with a specific anti-codon) for a particular amino acid; and 'wobble' base-pairing, i.e. permitting non-standard base-pairing at the 3rd anti-codon position. Lineage: Bacteria; Bacillati; Actinomycetota; Actinomycetes; Micrococcales; Dermabacteraceae. The record is from RNAcentral.
GCCCGCGUAGCUCAGUGGAUAGAGCGUCUGCCUCCGGAGCAGAAGGUCGUAGGUUCGAAUCCUGUCGCGGGCGCUA